RNAcentral lists this ribosomal RNA (465 nucleotides) under Vreelandella stevensii. RNAcentral's name for it is "partial 16S ribosomal RNA". It matches the Rfam family "Bacterial small subunit ribosomal RNA", at positions 338 to 795 of the family's 1533-position model. Lineage: Bacteria; Pseudomonadati; Pseudomonadota; Gammaproteobacteria; Oceanospirillales; Halomonadaceae. The record is from RNAcentral.
CCUACGGGUGGCAGCAGUGGGGAAUAUUGGACAAUGGGCGAAAGCCUGAUCCAGCCAUGCCGCGUGUGUGAAGAAGGCCUUCGGGUUGUAAAGCACUUUCAGUGGGGAAGAAAGCCUUGGGGCUAAUACCCUCGAGGAAGGACAUCACCCACAGAAGAAGCACCGGCUAACUCCGUGCCAGCAGCCGCGGUAAUACUGAGGGUGCGAGCGUUAAUCGGAAUUACUGGGCGUAAAGCGCGCGUAGGCGGUCUGAUAAGCCGGUUGUGAAAGCCCCGGGCUCAACCUGGGAACGGCAUCCGGAACUGUCAGGCUAGAGUGCAGGAGAGGAAGGUAGAAUUCCCGGUGUAGCGGUGAAAUGCGUAGAGAUCGGGAGGAAUACCAGUGGCGAAGGCGGCCUUCUGGACUGACACUGACGCUGAGGUGCGAAAGCGUGGGUAGCAAACAGGAUUAGAUACCCCGGUAGUC